GGGCUCGUAGCCUAGUCUGGAUAGGGCACCGGACUUCUAAUCCGGUUGUCGCGGGUUCAAAUCCCGCCGGGCCCAC
This 76-nucleotide transfer RNA is filed under the name uncultured archaeon. Its description in RNAcentral is "tRNA-Arg(tct)". It matches the Rfam family "tRNA". Rfam says of the family: Transfer RNA (tRNA) molecules are approximately 80 nucleotides in length. Their secondary structure includes four short double-helical elements and three loops (D, anti-codon, and T loops). Further hydrogen bonds mediate the characteristic L-shaped molecular structure. tRNAs have two regions of fundamental functional importance: the anti-codon, which is responsible for specific mRNA codon recognition, and the 3' end, to which the tRNAs corresponding amino acid is attached (by aminoacyl-tRNA synthetases). tRNAs cope with the degeneracy of the genetic code in two manners: having more than one tRNA (with a specific anti-codon) for a particular amino acid; and 'wobble' base-pairing, i.e. permitting non-standard base-pairing at the 3rd anti-codon position. The record is from RNAcentral.